Molecule: long non-coding RNA, 542 nt
Organism: Penaeus chinensis
Lineage: Eukaryota; Metazoa; Arthropoda; Malacostraca; Decapoda; Penaeidae
Exons: 4
Source: RefSeq, a predicted model, not a curated record
AGGACUACCAAUCAAAUUGUCUCAUCGGCUGAGUCAACACACACACCCUGUUCUGGAUGAGACUGCCCUGACAGCUGGGUAGUUGGAUACCCGAGUGUAGAACCUGACAGCCAUGGGCAAUGCUGUUCACUGGCAAAAGAGAAGAGAUUGCAGCCAAGUAACUUCGAAGUCUCUGUGGCUGUUAAUCACAUCCAGGCACAGUUGACACCAGACAUUCUGAGGAGGAUUCGGUCAUAUCUAACAGUUGCCAGGUUUAGCAGUUAUAAUCUCUGGAGAUAUGUGGAAGGUGGUGCAGAGUGACUUUGUUGACAGCCGGAAGAAUGACAAUGGUAUUUCUGCAUAGGAAAACCACAACCUCCUUAUACAAGCACGGCUUGUUGCUGUAAGUUGUGGAGAAAACCAUCUCACUGCUGAUGUGUAGAAAUGUUAAUGGUUAAUGGUUAAAAGCAAAAUAAAUGUGCUAGACAUCUAAGGUCAUGUAGCACUAUAGUAAAUGGUAUUGAAGGUGGUUGAGUUAGUGAUUAGUUGUCAAAGCUGGGCAA